UGAAGGGUCUGGGAAGGAGUUCAAGUCCAGGUCGAAGCGCCUGCGGUCGAAGAUGCUGAGGAGACCAGCGAUUCUCUGGGCGGAGACCGGUCGGUCCCGGGUUGGAAGUCCGUACGGUAUCCGUGCGAGUCCGGAAGUGGAGGCCCGAAGGUCAUUGAUUCUUGGUGAAGUUGGAGGCCUAAUGCCUGCGAUCCAGGGAACGGGACUUGAGGUCCGGAAGCUUUCUGUCCGGGAGUUGGAGGCUUUCCUGGAAACGACUUGAAGAUACACUGCAAUUUGGGAUCAAUGUCAAUCAAGAGGAGCUGCUGUCAGCUAUUCACAACAUACAACUGUAAGAUCUUGGGAAGGAUGUGAUUUAAAGUAGAUCCGAUGGAAUCUGUUUGAAUCUGUAACCGCAGAAAAACAAUUAAAAUGAAAAGAGCACCACUUCAUGAUUGACCA
Long non-coding RNA from Mobula hypostoma (lesser devil ray), 441 nucleotides. RefSeq lists it as uncharacterized. NCBI's taxonomy places the organism in Eukaryota, Metazoa, Chordata, Chondrichthyes, Myliobatiformes, Myliobatidae. The record is from RefSeq and is a predicted model, not a curated record. The transcript has 3 exons.